UGCUAUAGUUAUGAAAAUGGUUCGGCUAAGCCUAAAAUACAAGGAAAUUGAAUAAAAAUUAUUUCCCGAAUCUAGGGGCAAAAUCAUAAUUUUAUGAAACUUUAGGGGCAAAAUUGUAAAUUUUGCCAUAGGAUGUUUUUGGGUUAAUUUGAAUAAUGUGAGCAUUUUAAUAAGUCAAAAGUUUUAUUAUAGACCAAGAAAGACGUGGAAUCGACCUUGAUCGGGGAAAUGAAAAGAUUGUGGACUAAAAUGCAAAAUUU
This 260-nucleotide long non-coding RNA is filed under the name Gossypium barbadense (sea-island cotton). Its description in RNAcentral is "long non-coding RNA (GBAR_LNC011350)". The record is from RNAcentral. Lineage: Eukaryota; Viridiplantae; Streptophyta; Magnoliopsida; Malvales; Malvaceae.